GAAUAUUGGACAAUGGGGGGAACCCUGAUCCAGCCAUGCCGCGUGUGUGAAGAAGGCCUUUUGGUUGUAAAGCACUUUAAGCGAGGAGGAGGCUCCUUCGAUUAAUACUCUCGGAUAGUGGACGUUACUCGCCGAAUACGCACCGGCUAACUCUUGGCACGCACCCGCGGUAAUACAGCGGGUGCAAGCGUUAAUCGGAUUUACUGGGCGUAAAGCGCGCGUAGGUGGCCAAUUAAGUCAAAUGUGAAAUCCCCGAGCUUAACUUGGGAAUUGCAUUCGAUACUGGUUGGCUAGAGUAUGGGAGAGGAUGGUAGAAUUCCAGGUGUAGCGGUGAAAUGCGUAGAGAUCGGGAGGAAUACCGAUGGCGAAGGCAGCCAUCUGGCCUAAUACUGACACUGAGGUGCGAAAGCAUGGGGAGCAAACA
Molecule: ribosomal RNA, 424 nt
Filed under: uncultured bacterium
Lineage: Bacteria
Description: partial 16S ribosomal RNA
Rfam family: Bacterial small subunit ribosomal RNA
Source: RNAcentral